GGAAUAUUGCACAAUGGGGGAAACCCUGAUGCAGCGACGCCGCGUGAGUGAAGAAGUAUUUCGGUACGUAAAGCUCUAUCAGCAGGGAAGAAAGAAAGUCCUUUGGACUUUGGACGGUACCUGACCAAGAAGCCCCGGCUAACUACGUGCCAGCAGCCGCGGUAAUACGUAGGGGGCAAGCGUUAUCCGGAUUUACUGGGUGUAAAGGGAGCGUAGACGGCAGGGCAAGUCUGGAGUGAAAGGCAGGGGCCCAACCCCUGGACUGCUCUGGAAACUGUCCGGCUGGAGUGCAGGAGAGGUAAGUGGAAUUCCUAGUGUAGCGGUGAAAUGCGUAGAUAUUAGGAGGAACACCAGUGGCGAAGGCGGCUUACUGGACUGUAACUGACGUUGAGGCUCGAAAGCGUGGGGAGCAAAC
Molecule: ribosomal RNA, 415 nt
Filed under: uncultured bacterium
Lineage: Bacteria
Description: bacterial SSU rRNA
Rfam family: Bacterial small subunit ribosomal RNA
Source: RNAcentral